ACGGAAUCCAAGAUGGCACCGGUAAGCAUAGCUUGAAACAUUUUGUCAAUAUUUCACCUAUCUUUUUCCUUUUUUUUCUAUUUUAACUCGUAUCUACUUUAUUAUAAAUACUUAAAGAAAGGAAUAGCGAUAAAACAUUUUGUAAAUUUUCGGGAGUUUGUGAAAUUAAAUGAAAUGUAGUAUUGAGACCACGUGCCACGCUGAGAACAAUUGAAUUAAUACUCCCUAUGAUUUUACUUUGAACACUGUCUAAUUCAAAUACUAUUCCAAGGUAUUAUAAACAAUUUCAUGGUUUUCAGACUAAAACUGUUCAAAAGAGACCCAAGCCAAAGGGAAAGAAGAAGAACAAGGACGCCAAGUCAUUCACUAUUGACUGCACUCACCCAGUUGAAGAUGGUGUUAUGAACGUUGAGAACUUUGGUCACCUUCCCUAGUGUAUUGUUUGAAUUAUUUUCUAGGAAGCCUUCUUGAAAGAAAAAGUUAAGGUAAAUGGAAAAACCGGCAACAUGGGAAAAGAUGUCAAGCUUGUCAAGGACAAGAACAAGAUUACCGUUCAUGCCGAAAUUCCCUUCAGCAAGAGAUAUUUGAAAUAUUUAACAAAGAAAUAUCUCAAGAAGAACAGUCUUCGUGAUUGGCUUCGUGUAGUAGCUAACGCCAAGGAAUCCUACGAAGUUCGUUACUUCAACAUCAAUAACGACGAAGAAGAAGACGAGGAGAACUAAUUUCUUAAAGUUAUCAGAAAUACACGUUUUUGAAUUGAAUAUAUAUUACUUUCUUAUUCUUCUUGAACGAAAGCAUUAGAAUUACAUAUGUUAAGUGCGAGAGUUGUUCUUAAAAGAGUACACUUAAUCUUAUCUAUAGUGCAGCCUUAAGCUAGAUAUAAGCUCGCUCAACUCUUUAAUUAUUCUCCUCACGACUUGCACGUAAGCAACCCAAAAUAUAGUAAUCUUUUUAGGCUCAAUACCCUUUUCAAAGGCUCUUAAAUCGUCUUCGUAUUUUAUGCAUACGAAGAUUACUAUAGGAGCGGAAAGCUGGGGGUGGUGUGGCACUUAAAGGCAUCUUCAAGAACCAGUUCUAUUAGCUAGUGAAAAUUUGCGAAAUAAACUUUUUUGACGACCAUGCAUCAAUUGAGAAGAAAUGUUUUUAUCUAUCUUAGGCGACAUUACAAAUAUGGAAUAUUGCUAUUAGUGAACAUAUCUCUUCUACUUUUUAAUAUAUGGAUUCUUACCAAUACAAGUUCAGUAAAGUCUUCAAAUACAAAAAAAUUAUCACUCGAAGUGAUAGAACACGAGUACUACAAAACCUUGGAUGACUACGAAAAAGGUGUGCAUUUACGUCCUCAACCUAUAUAUGCUGAAGAAAAGAACGAGCCUUUUGAAAAAGACAAAACUCGUAUAGACGAAGUAUAUACUCAAGCUCAGCAUAAAUACAAAGUUCCUCUGAAGUAUGACUACUCUGAGAGAUCCUCGUAUAUUGUCCCAUCUAUAGAACAUCAAGGAACAAUUAAAUGUUCUAGAGUUAUGAAAAAUGAUGAGCAAGAAAUAAAUAAAGCUGAAAGUUUGCAUAUAGAAAGACCGGGGAAAAUUCCGGUACCUUUAGAGACUUAUCAAUGGUGGUUGUCUCGAUGUAAGGACUUUAGAAGAGCAAGAGGAUACGUUGAAGUUGCAACAGAACAGGAGGAAAAAUGGCCUUUAGCAUUUAGUCUUUCAAUUUAUAGAGAUUUUGAACAAGCCGAAAGACUUUUACGAGCUAUAUGGAGACCCCAUAAUAUUUACUGCAUCCAUAUUGAUGUUAAAUCACCCUUAAUCUUUCAUAGAACAGUUAGGGCAUUAGCAAAAUGUUUUGAUAAUGUUUUUAUAGCUUCCCAUUUGGAUAAGAUAAAAUGGGGAGAUGUUAGUGUAUUACUCCCAGAUAUCAAUUGUAUGAGAGACCUAAUUAGAUAUUACAGGGGUCGGUGGAAAUACUUUAUUAAUCUUACCGGUCAAGAAUUUCCUUUGCGAACCAAUUACGAAUUGGCUAGAAUUGCAGAAAUAUUUAAUGGAUCAAAUGACAUUGCAGGAUCACUUUCGAGAAUGGAAAUGGAUCGAGUUAUUCAUAAAUGGGGUCAUAGGUGGAGUAUAACCUAUCAGCAAAUGAUCUUCUAUGAUACUUUCGAACAGAAAACCCAAUUUUAUGAGAAUGUAACAUUUUAUAAAGGAGAGAUGCACGGCUUAUUUUCUCAUAAUUUUGUAAAGUACGUAGUCGAGAGUAAAAUUGGCAUUGAUUAUUUAAAUUGGUGCAAAGACACUGGUCAUCCUAGUGAACAUUAUUACAACGUUUUAAACUAUAAUAAAUAUCUUAAUGCACCAGGUGGAUAUUACGGUAUGCUCACAAUAGUUUGUCUAUCUUGAUUAGAUUAUCGUCUAAAACGCAAACUUGAAUGAAUAAUUGUAGGUAAUUCGAAAUUAGCUGACAACUAUUCUUACAAUCUUGCUAUUCGAUUAAAACUAUGGAAUUCGGGUCGUCAUUACGGUGGACGCGACUGUUUGGGUCGGUAUGUGAGAGGUAUAUGCCAUUUUGGGAUUAAAGACGUUCCAUGGCUAGUGACAAGACCCGAAAUGUUUAUGAACAAGUUUAACCUAACGUAUAAAUGGUACGGUUAUGAAUGUCUUGAGGAAUGGCAUAGGGAAAGAACAAAGUUAAUGGAUAAAGUAGACUUUGAUGAUCGUUAUUAUAAAUCGUUACCAACAGUUAAAUAUGCAAGAAAAGAUGGCCUACCUAACUAAAUCGUAAAAUAUUGUCAGGGGAAAAACUGUGAAAUAUUUUCUUGUUAUAGAAAUUCUUUUGUUGAAUACAAAAUUAAAUAACUAUAA
This 2852-nucleotide unclassified non-coding RNA is filed under the name Dimorphilus gyrociliatus. RNAcentral's name for it is "dgyrCDS7552". Lineage: Eukaryota; Metazoa; Annelida; Polychaeta; Dinophilidae. The record is from RNAcentral.